UGUUAAAAGGGUUUUAAAUAAGUCUCUUUUUCAAUGGUGUAAGUAUGAGAUUUGUGAAGCCCUUUCCAGAUGCAUGUGUGUUUGCUUAUGUUUAAAAAAUCACUUGAGUGCAAACAUUUAAACACAUUUUAUAAAACUGGCGGGCCAGGCACGGUGGCUCAUGCCUGUAAUCCCAGCACUUUGGGAGGCCGAGGCGGGUGGAUCACGAGGUCAGGAGUUUGAGACCAGCCUGACCAACAUGGUGAAACCCCGUCUCUACUGGGGGAAAAAAAAAAUUAGCCAGGCGUGGUGGUGGGUGCCUGUAGUCCCAGCUACUCAGGAGGCUGAGGCAGGAGAAUCACUUGAACCCAGGAGGCGGAGGUUGCAAUGAGCCGAGAUCAUGCCAUUGUGCUCCGGCCUGGGUGACAAAGCGAGACUCUUUCUCAAAAAAACAAAAACAAAAACAAACAGACAAACAAACAAAACUGGCAUGGCAUUGGACAGUGACACAUAAGAAGCUGAUGUCAUCUUUGCCACUUAGAGAAGGCAAAAUAUCUUGUUAGAUAACCCCUCUUAAAUGCUCUGCUUGGCUAGUACUUUUUGGGCUUGGUCAGUGAUUAGAGUUUAAGUUGUAAAUGGUAUUCAUAAUUUCUUGUCUCUGUCUCAUCCCAAACAGAUUAGAAAAUCUUUGAUUUUUGUUGGUAAGGAGCUAGCAUCUUAUUAAUACAAAGCCUUGUGCAUAAAUUAUUUCCAGUAAUUAUUUAGUGCCUAAUGUGGCAUGCUUUGUGCUGAGUGCUGAGGAUAAAAGAGGAAUAAGGUAAGAUCUUUAUAGUUUAGCAGAGGAGGAUGUGAGUGGGCAGAAAAAUGUUAUGAGUUCUAUAAUAGGAAUAUGUAUAGGGGAACUUGGUUACAGCUCAGCUUAAUUGAGAAAGGGUGUGAAAUGAAAAGACCAAACAUUCUUUGCAGAACAGCUAAACAGUUGGAAUUAUAUACUCAGAUGAGUUAAUGAUUAUAAAUAGCCAUCAUUUAUUAUCUCUCCAGAACUCCAGAACCAAGGUUAUAAAAAAUGAAUAGUUCUUUAUUUAGUUCAGAAGCAUUUGUGAAGUAUCUAUAGCAUCUGUAACAUGGCAGGCCCUAAGGACGCUGGCAUGAAUAGUGGGCCGUCAUCUACUGGGAGAGUCAGUAUAGCGUGUACGUGCGUUAGAGGUGAAAUGCAUAAAGGGGCAUCCAACAUGGCUGGUGGCUGGCCAUGUGAACAAGACAUUUGCAUUUGCCACAGCAUAAAGAAGGAUAUUUCUGAGUCAUGGAGUAUUUUAUUAUGUUUAUUUGGCCCCAAUAUUUCCAAAUAAAAAGAGGCCUUUGCUUUUGUGCUACAGGCGUUUCUUAUCUUUAGGAAGAAUGGGCCGGGCGCGGUGGCUCACACCUGUAAUCCCAGCACUUUGGGAGGUCAAGGCAGGCGGAUCACAAGGUCAGGAGUUCGAGACAAGCCUGACCAAUAUGGUGAAACCCCAUCUCUACUAAAAAUACAAAAAUUAGCUGGGCUUGGUGGCACACGCGUGUAGUCCCAGCUACUCAGGAGGCGAGGCAGGAGAAUUGCUUGAACCUGGUAGGUGGAGGUUACAGUGAGCCAAGAUCGUGCCAUUGCACUCCAGCCUGGGUGACAGAGUGAGACUCCAUCU
Molecule: long non-coding RNA, 1658 nt
Filed under: Homo sapiens (human)
Lineage: Eukaryota; Metazoa; Chordata; Mammalia; Primates; Hominidae
Description: non-protein coding lnc-THEMIS-2:1
Source: RNAcentral